ACUCAGCGUGCGGACCGGUAGUAAACAAAAGGAUGUAAUAAAAAGUAUAAAAAAGUAUAAUAACUGACUGAGAAACCAAGUUUGUGUCCAUUUCUCGGUUUUCUAUGGGCCUUUUACAAAACGGAGUUCAAGUUGGCUGUGCUAAUGCAAUCAUUUUUCACUCACAUUCAAAGUGUUAAACAGUUAAGAAAAAACUUAAUAAAAACACAUCGAAAAUUUCACAAAUCUGUGCGUACAAAACCUAAAGGUAAGCGAGAUGCUUGGAAAUAUACAAGUUUUUCUGAAGCUUUGACAGUCUUUUAGACCAUGUCUUUGCGAC
RNAcentral lists this long non-coding RNA (319 nucleotides) under Drosophila guanche. The record is from RNAcentral. Lineage: Eukaryota; Metazoa; Arthropoda; Insecta; Diptera; Drosophilidae.